Molecule: long non-coding RNA, 745 nt
Organism: Phyllopteryx taeniolatus (common seadragon)
Lineage: Eukaryota; Metazoa; Chordata; Actinopteri; Syngnathiformes; Syngnathidae
Exons: 4
Source: RefSeq, a predicted model, not a curated record
UUAAAUUUUUGCAAGUCACGAAGAAGAAUAUGCCCACUUUCCUUAGCAUUGAGCACUUGAGCUAAUUUUUUAUCGUUUGACUGGCAAUUUCCCUAUAUUUCGAUUAACCGUGUCUCAUAACUAACGCUAUAUAUUAUUCUUAUCAUAAUUAACAAUACAUUGUGUUAUUAAGAGGCAUAAUUUAUUUCGAGGAAUCUCAACAGGAUAGCAUGUAAUUUAACAACAGCAGACAGCGGUAGUACUAACUUCAGAAUCGCCAUUUAGCCCUUUUUUUCUCUUUUAGUUUUUUAGCGAGUGGAAGUUUGAUACCUUCGGGUCUUUUAGGUGACAUAAAAUCUUCCGGCUGGUUGUGUAUCGUUUCUAUUCCUUCAAGCAGAGGGGGCAAGUUGGGAAAUGUUAACCUGGUGGAGCCAAAAUAAAAAACGUCAAUCUCCAAGGACGAAGACAACCACCACGAUGACGGCAACGUGAUCCUCUCGGGCCCUUCAUCUCAUCUGCAUGAGAAUGCCGGUCUGUCCCCCGUUGCGUGUGUGCCGUUUGCAUGUCGGAUUGCAAGGUCGUCUUGCAUCGACAGACAGAUGAACCAACCUUGUCACGCACAGACUCGCGUGCCUACCUGGGGACACGCGCACACACACAUUGCUUCUGACCCCGCGAACGCACGGAACAUUUCCAAUCAGCCGCUCUCACGCAAGCGUAAAAAGAAGCCGAACGAUGUUAGCGUAAAAAGGUAGCUAACGCUGUC